RNAcentral lists this unclassified non-coding RNA (358 nucleotides) under Hevea brasiliensis (rubber tree). The record is from RNAcentral. Lineage: Eukaryota; Viridiplantae; Streptophyta; Magnoliopsida; Malpighiales; Euphorbiaceae.
GAAGAAAGAUAAAGAUAUUCUAGAUGCUUAAACUGUCCCAAGUUACCCGGGAGACUGCCACUAAAAUUAUUAGAUUCAAGAAUCAAAGUCUUUAAAUUACUUUGGAUGCAACCAGAUGAGCUACCAAAAGAUCCAGAAAUAUCACCACGGAAUUUGUUAUCAGCCAAGUUUAGCUCAAUCAAACUGCACAGAUUCCUUAAUGUUCCAGGGAUUUCACCCUCAAGCUCAUUCUCAGAUAGGUCAAGGAAAGAAAGAUAAUUAUAAUUACCCAUCUGACUGGAUAUGGAGCCUUGGAAAACAUUUUCACUUAAAUCAAGAUACUUGAUGUUGCUAAUAUUAAACAACCACAGGGGAAUGG